Molecule: ribosomal RNA, 497 nt
Filed under: uncultured bacterium
Lineage: Bacteria
Description: partial 16S ribosomal RNA
Rfam family: Bacterial small subunit ribosomal RNA
Source: RNAcentral
GAUGAACGCUGGCGGCGUGCCUAAUACAUGCAAGUCGAGCGAACAGACGAGGAGCUUGCUCCUCUGACGUUAGCGGCGGACGGGUGAGUAACACGUGGAUAACCUACCUAUAAGACUGGGAUAACUUCGGGAAACCGGAGCUAAUACCGGAUAAUAUAUUGAACCGCAUGGUUCAAUAGUGAAAGACGGUUUUGCUGUCACUUAUAGAUGGAUCCGCGCCGCAUUAGCUAGUUGGUAAGGUAACGGCUUACCAAGGCAACGAUGCGUAGCCGACCUGAGAGGGUGAUCGGCCACACUGGAACUGAGACACGGUCCAGACUCCGACGGGAGGCAGCAGUAGGGAAUCUUACGCAAUGGGCGAAAGCCUGACGGAGCAACGCCGCGUGAGUGAUGAAGGUCUUCGGAUCGUAAAACUCUGUUAUUAGGGAAGAACAAAUGUGUAAGUAACUAUGCACGUCUUGACGGUACCUAAUCAGAAAGCCACGGCUAACUACGUG